UGUCUUUUAAAUGAAGACCUGUAUGAAUGGCAUAACGAGGGCUUAACUGUCUCCUCCCCCCAGUCAAUGAAAUUGAUCUCCCCGUGCAGAAGCGGGGAUAACAACAUAAGACGAGAAGACCCUGUGGAGCUUUAAAUCACGAACAGACCAUGUCAAGAAUAACAAACAAGAGCAUUAAACAAAUUGGCCACUGUUUAUGUAUUUUUGGUUGGGGCGACCGCGGGGUAAUAAAUAACCCCCAUGUGGACUAAGAAAACAUUCUUAAAACUAAGAGCCCCCGCUCUAAGUAACAGAACUUCUGACCUUAAUGAUCCGGCCUGGCCGAUCAACGAACCCAGUUACCCCAGGGAUAACAGCGCAAUCCUCUUCUAGAGCCCAUAUCGACAAGAGGGUUUACGACCUCGAUGUUGGAUCAGGACAUCCUAAUGGUGUAGCCGCUAUUAAGGGUUUGUUUGUUCAACAAUUAAAGU
RNAcentral lists this ribosomal RNA (470 nucleotides) under Oryzias matanensis (Matano medaka). RNAcentral describes it as "partial 16S ribosomal RNA". It matches the Rfam family "Bacterial large subunit ribosomal RNA", at positions 1970 to 2594 of the family's 2925-position model. The record is from RNAcentral. Lineage: Eukaryota; Metazoa; Chordata; Actinopteri; Beloniformes; Adrianichthyidae.